GGGGCAGCCGGCCUGGACGGCGGCUCCUGUGUCCAUGAACACCCAGGAGGAGAGGCAGGCUCCAGCAGAGGAGGAGUGUGCAGCUCAUCUCGACUGGAGCUUUCACUCGGCACAGCAGGGGAGGCUGUGGGCUUCCCUCCAGCACCGACAGAACGCUGGGUGCGAAGCCGCUCGGAUGAGGGAUGGUACAACAUCUCCAGCUGUACUGAUGUUCGAGAAUUCUCCCAGGAAUUCUUUUCGCGAUACAUGUCCAGUCUCUGUUACUAGGAUCUGCAUGGAGCCCCUAAGACACGAGCCAUGGUCCCCCCAGCCUCCCCCCUCAGUCUUCGAGGACCGGCACUCCCCCAUCCAUCCUGUUCUGGAGUGGCUGAACGACUACUUGCUUCGACCACCUGGGCAGCCUGUGAUGUUCUGGGACCUCCGUGCCCAUUCGAGUGAAGUUGUAGGACCCCCUGGGGCCUCUUCUGCACCUUGUGAAAAUCUCAAGCACAUCCAACCUCCUGUUGGGAGAGAAAAAAAGAAUGAGGGAAAGUAAGGAGGGGAGAAGUCUGUCGAAGUUUGCCCUCCGCCUCCCAUCCAUCGGCCGCGUCAGACAGCUGACAACCUGGCUGCUCCCAAGCUUCAGAGCCAUCUCUCUGCUGUGAAAGGCUGGUCGCAGACCUGGUCUGGAGUUUUCACCCUUCAAGCCAUUAUCUGCUGUGUCAGCAGAGCCGUCGGUUGCAUUCAUAUUCACCACUUUGUUCCCAAGUCUAAUCUGGAAGAUACAAAACACAGAAGUGCCAGGAAUCCGCAAUUAGGCUCGCUGUGCAGCCAUCCUCCCGUGACACAGCUGUUGAUGGAAGCGAAGACCAUCCACGCGGAAACACCAUUGUCCAUUGUCAGUGCCCGUCAGUGCCUCUUUGCGUACUUGUCCCUCUGUGACCACACAGCUGGCCUCUUCCCACCCCUCUAAUGCCCACAGUGAAUCCAGAUCCAAACAAGCAACUUCCUCAGAACAACAGUGAGCCAACCCAACAUGAUGAGCAGGUAACCGGUACCCACGGAGCAUCUCGUCAGGAGGAGGAAAGAGGGCUCGUCUUGUGCACCACACAGCAAAGGCCGUGCUCUCCCCCACCCUCCCUGCCCUCUCUCGGCUCCUCACCGCACUCCUCUUCACCCUCGCAGAUUCUAGGAUCGCCUCUACCGUCCAGAGCUGUUUAGUCCCACGAUGACACAGGCAUGUGCUUAACUUGCCGUCUAAGAUCACGGGCAGCCCGGCCAUCUACCUGGUCCCUGGAGAUGCUCCUGUCUCCCAGGCAGCUCUCUGAUGUAUCCACAUGACGAUAGGAAGAGGGACAGGAAGGUGGGGGGGUGUACCGUGAGCAGCCGUCAGACCUGAUCUGCUCCACGACACAUGCAUGGGCACUGCCCCCCGCCUUCAGUCCCCGUAUUGUCCUGCAGGCCCCACUUGCUGCAUCUUUCCCACACACAAGAAAAUAGGCCAAAAAGGGUUUUGGAUAGUUAUCUUAUUUUAUUCCCUUUUUGUUUGUGUCUCUCUGCUGCCCUUGCCCCUCAG
Molecule: long non-coding RNA, 1555 nt
Filed under: Equus caballus (horse)
Lineage: Eukaryota; Metazoa; Chordata; Mammalia; Perissodactyla; Equidae
Description: lncRNA (ENSECAG00000036700.3)
Source: RNAcentral